This 447-nucleotide long non-coding RNA is filed under the name Brassica napus (rape). RNAcentral's name for it is "long non-coding RNA (BNAP_LNC022873)". The record is from RNAcentral. Lineage: Eukaryota; Viridiplantae; Streptophyta; Magnoliopsida; Brassicales; Brassicaceae.
GGCCAAGCACGAUGUGUUGCGAUGCAUGCGACCGAAGCAUGCGGCCAGCCAUGUGUGAGAUGGGGUGUCGACCUGCAUGCACUUCAGUCAUUCAGCAGGCCAUCUGGAAGUGGGUGUGUCAUCCUUCAUGAUACUGAGGCAUGCAGCCAGCCAUGUGGAGCACGAGGUGGAAAGGCCAAGCACGAGGUGUCGCGAUGCAUGCGACCGGGCCAUACGGCCAGACAUGUGGAAGACGUGGUGUCAGCUUGCAUGUGAGCAGGCCAUGCAUCCAGACAGGUAUAGGGUGUGGUGUGACCUUGCAUGUGAGCAGGCCAUGCUGAAGGACAAGUGGAGCACGAGGUGCCGCCGCGCAUGCGUCCGUAGCCAUGCGAAGCGACACACGGGCUGCCACACGGCUUGAUCCUGAUUGGUUACUGAUUCCUAUAAAUAGACCACGACCCCCUCUCA